UGUAGUAUUGGUUUGAUAUUCAAUGACUGGCCGUCGUAGUCUUAACCAUAAUCGAUGCCGACCAGCGAUUAGGAGACGUUGAAUACAAAACACCACCGUCGGGUCGGCCGUCCUUGGCCGUCGUGCGCGGCGACGCGCGCGGCGGCGAGGGCGGUGUCUGCCCGACGGCCCGGUGAAUGACUCCCUAGCAGCUUGUGAGA
RNAcentral lists this ribosomal RNA (200 nucleotides) under Acanthamoeba sp. IB&GE KAW3/PAK/T15. RNAcentral's name for it is "partial 18S ribosomal RNA". Lineage: Eukaryota; Discosea; Longamoebia; Acanthamoebidae. The record is from RNAcentral.